GACGAACGCUGGCGGCGUGCUUAACACAUGCAAGUCGAACGGAAAGGCCCUGCUUUUUUGGGGUGCUCGAGUGGCGAACGGGUGAGUAACACGUGAGUAACCUGCCCUUGACUUUGGGAUAACUUCAGGAAACUGGGGCUAAUACCGGAUAGGAGCUCCCGCUGCAUGGUGGGGGUUGGAAAGUUUCGGCGGUUGGGGAUGGACGCGCGGCUUAUCAGCUUGUUGGUGGGGUAGUGGCUUACCAAGGCCUUGACGGGUAGCCGGCCUGAGAGGGUGACCGGCCACAUUGGGACUGAGAUACGGCCCAGACUCCUACGGGAGGCAGCAGUGGGGAAUAUUGCACAAUGGGCGGAAGCCUGAUGCAGCAACGCCGCGUGCGGGAUGACGGCCUUCGGGUUGUAAACCGCUUUCGCCUGUGACGAAGCGUGAGUGACGGUAAUGGGUGAAGAAGCACCGGCUAACUACGUG
RNAcentral lists this ribosomal RNA (468 nucleotides) under uncultured bacterium. RNAcentral describes it as "partial 16S ribosomal RNA". It matches the Rfam family "Bacterial small subunit ribosomal RNA", at positions 28 to 507 of the family's 1533-position model. The record is from RNAcentral.